Molecule: ribosomal RNA, 162 nt
Filed under: uncultured Bacteroidota bacterium
Lineage: Bacteria; Pseudomonadati; Bacteroidota
Description: uncultured Bacteroidetes bacterium partial 16S ribosomal RNA
Rfam family: Bacterial small subunit ribosomal RNA
Source: RNAcentral
UACGGGAGGCAGCAGUGAGGAAUAUUGGUCAAUGGGCGAGAGCCUGAACCAGCCAAGUCGCGUGAAGGAAGAAGGUUCUAUGGAUUGUAAACUUCUUUUGUAAGGGAAUAAAAAGAGUUACGUGUAACUUAUUGUAUGUACUUACGAAUAAGAUCGUCCCCC